GACGAACGCUGGCGGCGUGCUUAACACAUGCAAGUCGAACGAUGAAGAAGAGAAACGCGAACUUCGGUUCAAAUUUCACUUCGGAUUAGCGGCAGACGGGUGAGUAACGCGUGAGCAACCUACCUCUUACAAAGGGAUAGCCUCGGGAAACCGUGAUUAAUACCAUAUGACACAUUCAUAAGGCAUCUUAAGAAUGUUAAAGCUACGGCGGUAAGAGAUGGGCUCGCGUCCCAUUAGCUAGUUGGUGAGGUAACGGCCCACCAAGGCGACGAUGGGUAACCGGACUGAGAGGGUGAACGGUAACAUUGGAACUGAGACACGGUCCAAACUCCUACGGGAGGCAGCAGUGGGGAAUAUUGCACAAUGGAGGGAACUCUGAUGCAGCGACGCCGCGUGAGCGAUGAAGGAAUUCGUUUCGUAAAGCUCUGUUCUAUGGGAAGAAAAGGACUGUACCAUAGGAGAAAGCCCCGGCUAAAUACGUG
This 482-nucleotide ribosomal RNA is filed under the name uncultured bacterium. RNAcentral's name for it is "partial 16S ribosomal RNA". It matches the Rfam family "Bacterial small subunit ribosomal RNA", at positions 28 to 507 of the family's 1533-position model. The record is from RNAcentral.